RNAcentral lists this ribosomal RNA (347 nucleotides) under uncultured bacterium. RNAcentral's name for it is "partial 16S ribosomal RNA". It matches the Rfam family "Bacterial small subunit ribosomal RNA", at positions 338 to 682 of the family's 1533-position model. The record is from RNAcentral.
CCUACGGGGGGCAGCAGUGAGGAAUAGUGGUCAAUGGGCGUAAGCCUGAACCAGCCAAGUCGCGUGAGGGAUGAAGGUUCUAUGGAUCGUAAACCUCUUUUAUAAGGGAAUAAAGUGUGGGACGUGUCCUAUUUUGUAUGUACCUUAUGAAUAAGGAUCGGCUAACUCCGUGCCAGCAGCCGCGGUAAUACGGAGGAUCCGAGCGUUAUCCGGAUUUAUUGGGUUUAAAGGGUGCGUAGGCGGCCUUUUAAGUCAGCGGUGAAAGUGUGUGGCUAAACCAUAGAAUUGCCGUUGAAACUGGGGGGCUUUCUUAUGUUUGCGGCAGGCGGCAUGCGUGUUGUCGCGGU